AUUGAACGCUGGCGGUAUGCUUAACACAUGCAAGUCGAACGGUAACAGGUCUUCGGAUGCUGACGAGUGGCGGACGGGUGAGUAAUGCAUAGGAAUCUGCCUAGUAGUGGGGGGAUAACGUGGGGAAACUCACGCUAAUACCGCAUACGCCCUACGGGGGAAAGCGGGGGAUCGUAAGACCUCGCGCUAUUAGAUGAGCCUAUGUCAGAUUAGCUAGUUGGUGGGGUAAUGGCCUACCAAGGCGACGAUCUGUAGCUGGUCUGAGAGGAUGAUCAGCCACACUGGAACUGAGACACGGUCCAGACUCCUACGGGAGGCUG
This 320-nucleotide ribosomal RNA is filed under the name uncultured Pseudomonadota bacterium. RNAcentral's name for it is "bacterial SSU rRNA". It matches the Rfam family "Bacterial small subunit ribosomal RNA", at positions 30 to 351 of the family's 1533-position model. The record is from RNAcentral. Lineage: Bacteria; Pseudomonadati; Pseudomonadota.